Molecule: long non-coding RNA, 340 nt
Filed under: Vulpes vulpes (red fox)
Lineage: Eukaryota; Metazoa; Chordata; Mammalia; Carnivora; Canidae
Description: lncRNA (ENSVVUG00000027941.1)
Source: RNAcentral
GGGGAAGACCAAGGAGGCAGUCUUCCACAAUUCUCCUAUGUUGGGAGAUUUGGUUUCAAAAUCGCAGAUCCAGAUUCCAUGUCCAGAGAAAAAGAGAACCUGAUGAUAAAGACUUCGAACAGAGACAAGACCAGGAACAGGAUCUCUGGGUUGAGAGAGUUCAAGGGCCAGAGCAAGAUGGAUAGACAUUCAGUAAGUUUGGUGUCUUCAGCUUGGGCUCUGAAUCUCUCUCACUCUUCUUGAGAACAUAUCUUUACAUACCUUCAGUUUUUCCAGAAGCUGAACCUGCUGGAGAUGGUAAACAGAACUUCAGGAGGCAGAGACAGACACAUAACAUCAC